This is a long non-coding RNA of Thamnophis elegans (Western terrestrial garter snake), 3816 nucleotides long. RefSeq lists it as uncharacterized. The record is from RefSeq and is a predicted model, not a curated record. Lineage: Eukaryota; Metazoa; Chordata; Lepidosauria; Squamata; Natricidae. The transcript is spliced from 2 exons.
GGUUUCCCGAGCGGGAAGCGAGGGAAAAACAAAAGUGGCAGGAAGAACCUCUGCCCGUGGUUUGGCCGCUUGGCCACCCGGGAGAAUUGGGCUGCUGUUGAGCCCCGGUCGCUGCACCGCCUAGCGAGAAGUUGAAGCCGACAACAGGAAGGUCGUCGGCCUGCGCUCCUCCUUGCGGCUGCCUUCUCCGUUUCCCCUAUGAGAGAAACUGGUAAUUCUCCCUUUGGCCUCUCGGAAUACAAGGUCGGGGGACCACCCGGAAAUCCUCCAAUCUUUCCCUAGGCAAUAUCAAACAAUCGGAAAAACACCUUGUAAGAAAGCACAGCAUUGUGACAUUAUUGUGUGCAAUGCAAUAGGUUGUUGUAUUCAAGAAAAAUACAGCAUUUUAGUUGAACUGAGGCCACUUUAUCUUCCAGCUAAUAUACAGUGGCUGGGAAGAGCACAGCUCAAUCCUGCUCCAUAUCUAAAGAACAGAAGGAGGCAGUGAUUCAAGUGUGCUGAUCAAGCAGUACUCUAAUUACUAAUUUCUAAAGUAAGCUGCAGGAAGGAGGAAAACAGAUGAAUCACAGACAGAUUCAGUUGGAAAUAAGGGAAACUGUGCUCAACUUCCAUAUAUGUUUGCAGCCUACCUUGAUUGCUGAAACAGAAUCCUGAGAAAAUUAAGCCCGUCUUGAUUGGCAGAUCUUAUGGUGGCCUAAAGUGGAACAAUUCUGCUCUUCUGUGAUCUAAAAUCAUUAAUGCUGUUUUACUGAAGAAAACAGGAGGUUAUAGUUGAUGCCAUUUGAACAAACAAGACCAUAUAUAGAUUUUGGAAAAAUUCUUAAGAAGAGAAUCUAACCACAGAAAAAAACUCAAACCUCUAUCAAAGUGUGUAGAUGUAUAUUUUACAAAAAAGGAAAAAAAUGGUAUGUUAUCACAGAACUGCGAUGCCUGGAACCUUAUAUAUAAUUAUUCAUUAAUAUAAUUAUGGAUAUUAUUGCAAAGUAUUGUACAAAUGUUAAAGAUACUAAAGUGUAGCCUGGAAAAAUCAAAACUUUAGAAUGUAUGAACUCUAUGUAACAAGUCCGUUUUGGAAAAAAGCGAUCAGCAGAUUAUGUGAACAGCAUAUCUACUUUUAAUUUAGACACUUUUAGGUUUAGAGAAGAGAGAGAACUUUCAAAGGCAGAAUUUAUUCUUAUUCCUUACCAACACGGGACACUUCUAGAUGAGCCUUUUCUUGUACCGUUACCCUCCCUUAAACACAAAAUUGUAUUAGCGAAUCUUGUGAUAUUGUCCAAAUUAAUGGGUGAGAGAUCUCAUUCUGCAGAGAUGGAAAAAUCACAUUCCCCUAGUAAUAAUUAAAAGCCAGCCUGGUUGUUCCACAUGCUUUAGACAUUCACUUGUAUCAGCAUGAAAGAACUUUUCUAUUGUACCAUUCUUUCUUUGAAAUACUCUCUGCUUUAGAAAUUGAGCACGUGCCAACUUUGCUAUGGUUGAAUAGCAAUUGCUGUGAAAUGAAAAUCUGUUUAUUUACCCUCAGCAUUUGAGAGCUCAUGAUGGCAUAGCUGAACUAGUUAACAGCUAUUGUUUUAUUAUUCUUGAAUUAUUUUGAUGUGCUUAAUCAUAUUUCUUAAGAUUUUCUUCAGUACCAGAAGAAUCAUUGCACAAAAGGUAACAAUAUUUAAAAUAAAUUUUUAAAAAGCUGAUUGCCUAUUUUCACAGAACUUCCCUGUUUGUGGAUGGUACUCAUGUUACUAUAGUUUUUUAAGGCUACUCAGAGAUAUAUUCCUCUGUUCAGGGAAGCAUAAUUUCAAAGUUAAGAUUAGGGUUGAAUGCAGGUUAAUUUUUUUCUAGCUCUAUCUGUUCCUGUCCAUGUCCAUCUUUUUAUUCAUGUAGCAAAAUAAGACGUUUUCCUUGGGCGACAACUAGGGUAAAUUUUUAGUUGGGUAUAAUUUAAUUUUGGGAAGUUUUCUAAGGAAACAAAUUUGAGUAGCAUGAGAAAUGUUUCUGCUUCUAAUGGGCUGAGCCUAUUGCAUUUAUAUUGAUGUUAUCAACAUUGAAAUACAGUUUCCUUACACAUAAAACUAAGUCACUAUUAUAAAAUGUUUACAGUUUGUUGUGCCCAGCAUAAUAAUAGCUCAAUAAUAAGAACAACAAGGCAGCUUUCCUUUGAAUAGGUUACAUUUGCCUAUCCCAGGUCCUUGGAAAGGACUCAAUAGCUAGACAAAAAUGCCAAAUCCAAUCUGAACAUCUGGCUGACUGUGUGAUAAAUCAUAAAUUAAUCUAUUAGUUUGUGUGUUUUGGAUUAGUAAAUGUCUGCAAUUUGAUUUAAAGGAGAAAUAAUUUUUAAAGUUGAGAAAAUUCCCAUUGCAGAUGGAAGAUAGCUAGGAGAAGGAAUUGGUAUCCUCGUGAGAUACAGUUGAGAGAUACAGUUUAAAAAACACGUAUUAAUUUUAGCAUUCUGAUUUGUUUUAACAAGUUGUGAUGCUUUUAUUUGGGGGGAUGUUGUUAAAAACAGUCGCAGGUUUUUAUCAGUAAUUUCAAUUGCAUAGUUAAUAUUUUUAUUCUUAUAAAAUUAUGAAAGGACAGAAUAAUCUCAGAUAGCCCAACUGUAAUUAUCUACACCAAAGCACAUAGAGGAAGUAGGCCCUAAAUGUAAGUGAAUUAUAAAAUCCACACCCUUUUUAAUACAUGGAUUUGAUGCAGAGUACAUACCUUCUAUCUUAGCAACAGCAGUCUUUGCUUUCCAGAACAUUCAAAUCAUUUGGCAACACACCCUUUUAGUCUGCUUCCAUGCCUGUUUUGCUAUCAUAACGCUUUCUCAAAAGGAGGUUAGAAGUAUAUUACUAUCUUGUUAGCUAAUGACUGAUGUUAGCUGGGAACUUCCACUGAAAAAUCCCCCACAUGAUACUUCCUUGUAUGUAGCCACAUAGAGCUGAUCAUUAUAAUUUGUACUCUCACUAAAUCAGAAUUUAAAGUGAAAACAGAAUAUAAACUAGUUGUAGAACUUUAAUAUCCUGUCAAUAAUGCCAUGUAAUACAGUAAAACUUCUGUUCUGUGGAUGUGAAUUGAAGGAUGGAGGCGUUGAAUGAGCUUUAAUUAGCAGAUACUGAGUAUUUUGCAAGGCUUAUUUUGACCAGAUGUAUAGGUUAUGAAAAACAAUCACAAAUAUUUUCUGGGGGGAGAUGCAUGGUUUGUUCAGAUUUGGGAGGCUACAUAUAGGUUAGAUGUAUUUUUGUUGAUAAAAGUUUUGCACUGAAAAGGAGUUGCCAUUUUCACAUUUUGAAAAGUGGUGUUGCACACUCUGAGCUAUCUUUUUGUGGUAGAAUUUGAGCCCCUGUGUAGCUGUAAAUCAGGUGGCAAAUUUGAAUGGUAUUUCAUGUUCUGGAUAAUUGGAAGUUUCUGCAGCACAGUUCUGUAUGAACUUUUAAAUUGAUUGUAUGGUAGCAAAUGAAUAGUUAGUGCUUAGCUAAAAGCCUUUGCAAUUUUCCUGAGUAAAAGCGCUGAUAAAUAAUACUGAUGUGUACCCUUCUGCAGAACAACUUUAGAAUGUAAAAUACAAAUCCAGUUACAAAUUUAAAAUAUCAAUUAAUCAAAUUAUAAUCAGAUAAUCCAGUAGAUUACCCUAAAGCAAAAUUUCAAACCAGCAAAUUAACAACUAUUUUAAGAAUAGCUUUAUGUGUGAAUUUGAGCAGCUGAAAUUAAAACAAUGGAGCUACUGUUUGUAUUUUUAUUAUGUUGGCCAAUAAGAAAAUUGUUUUUUUCCCCCUGGAAAAGACUUCUUGCCUGUAUGAGUUAGAAUGACUUUAGAAACUUAGUACAAGUUUCCAGAACAAA